RNAcentral lists this unclassified non-coding RNA (446 nucleotides) under Hevea brasiliensis (rubber tree). The record is from RNAcentral. Lineage: Eukaryota; Viridiplantae; Streptophyta; Magnoliopsida; Malpighiales; Euphorbiaceae.
UUUUUUAAAAAAAAAAAUUUGAAAGGGGAGGUGACCAGCUGGAAAGGUAAAUUGGAUGUGAAUGAAACGAAGUAUCAAUGAUAAUGGUGGUGUUGGAAAUGGAUGGAGAUAAAUGGUCUAAUUAUUCCAGAUUUGCCAAGUUAUUCCGGGACCUCCGAAACCAGGUACGAGCUAUGGUCAAUUUGGGGGCCGGCCCUCCCUGGGAAUCUGUUUUCAUGGAUGAAUAAUUUAUUUGAUUGACAAUCCAUCACCGAUCCAAUGUAGGCUUUGCGUUGCGUUUGCGUUCACGUAGGAUGGAUGUUAGUUUCGGCGUGAGGGUUAGUCCUUUGAGGCAACUGCAUCUAUGCACCUCAAUUAUUGUUUAUCAAUGAUCCCAGAUAUUUUCUAAAUUUGUUAAUUUUAUUUCAAUAAACUUGAUGAUAAUCCAGGAACAAUUUUGGAAUUGG